CAAGUCGAGCGAGAAAAGGGGGGCAACUCCCUGAGUACAGCGGCGCACGGGUGAGUAACACGUGGGUAAUCUGCCCUGGAGUGGGGAAUAACACCGGGAAACCGGUGCUAAUACCGCAUACGAUCACGAUGUCUGCGGACGUUGUGAUGAAAGGAGCAAUUCGCUCCAGGAGGAGCCCGCGGCUGAUUAGCUAGUUGGUGAGGUAACGGCUCACCAAGGCUACGAUCAGUAUCCGGUCUGAGAGGACGGCCGGACACACUGGAACUGAGACACGGUCCAGACUCCUACGGGAGGCAGCAGUGGGGAAUUUUUGGCAAUGGGGGCAACCCUGACCAAGCAACGCCGCGUGGGUGAUGAAGUCUCUUGGGACGUAAAACCCUUUCGACGGGGAAGAAACCGCAAGGUUGACGGUACCCGUAGAAGAAGCCCCGGCUAACUCCGUGCCAGCAGCCGCGGUAAUACGGGGGGGGCAAGCGUUGUUCGGAAUUACUGGGCGUAAAGGGUGCGUAGGCGGUUCUCUAAGUCGGAUGUGAAAACUCUGGGCUCAACCCAGAGCCUGCAUCCGAAACUGGAGGGCUAGAGUUCUGGAGGGGGUAGCGGAAUUCCUGGUGUAGCGGUGAAAUGCGUAGA
This 630-nucleotide ribosomal RNA is filed under the name uncultured Acidobacteriota bacterium. Its description in RNAcentral is "bacterial SSU rRNA". It matches the Rfam family "Bacterial small subunit ribosomal RNA", at positions 58 to 694 of the family's 1533-position model. Lineage: Bacteria; Pseudomonadati; Acidobacteriota. The record is from RNAcentral.